GAUGAACGCUGGCGGCGUGCCUAAUACAUGCAAGUCGAGCGAAUGGAUUAAGAGCUUGCUCUUAUGAAGUUAGCGGCGGACGGGUGAGUAACACGUGGGUAACCUGCCCAUAAGACUGGGAUAACUCCGGGAAACCGGGGCUAAUACCGGAUAACAUUUUGAACCGCAUGGUUCGAAAUUGAAAGGCGGCUUCGGCUGUCACUUAUGGAUGGACCCGCGUCGCAUUAGCUAGUUGGUGAGGUAACGGCUCACCAAGGCAACGAUGCGUAGCCGACCUGGGAGGGUGAUCGGCCACACAGGGACUGGAACACGGACCAGACUCCUACGGGAGGCAGCAGUAGGGAAUCUUCCGAAAUGGACGAAAGUCUGACGGAGCAACGCCGCGUGAGUGAUGAAGGCUUUCGGGUCGUAAAACUCUGUUGUUAGGGAAGAACAAGUGCUAGUUGAAUAAGCUGGCACCUUGACGGUACCUAACCAGAAAGCCACGGCUAACUACGUGCCAGCCGCCGCAGUAA
RNAcentral lists this ribosomal RNA (515 nucleotides) under uncultured bacterium. Its description in RNAcentral is "partial 16S ribosomal RNA". It matches the Rfam family "Bacterial small subunit ribosomal RNA", at positions 28 to 523 of the family's 1533-position model. The record is from RNAcentral.